CCUACGGGAGGCUGCAGUGAGGAAUAUUGGUCAAUGGGCGCGAGCCUGAACCAGCCAAGCCGCGUGAAGGAUGACUGCCCUACGGGUUGUAAACUUCUUUUAUAAAGGAAUAAAGUGAGGCACGUGUGCCUUUUUGUAUGUACUUUAUGAAUAAGGAUCGGCUAACUCCGUGCCAGCAGCCGCGGUAAUACGGAGGAUCCGAGCGUUAUCCGGAUUUAUUGGGUUUAAAGGGUGCGUAGAUGGGUUGUUAAGUCAGUUGUGAAAGGUUGCGGCUCAACCGUAAAAUUGCAGUUGAUACUGGCAGUCUUGAGUACAGUUGAGGUAGGCGGAAUGCGUGGUGUAGCGGUGAAAUGCUUAGAUAUCACGAAGAACUCCGAUUGCGAAGGCAGCUUACUAAACUGCCACUGACAUUGAGGCACGAAAGUGUGGGUAUCAAACAGGAUUAGAUACCCCAGUAGUC
Molecule: ribosomal RNA, 460 nt
Filed under: uncultured bacterium
Lineage: Bacteria
Description: partial 16S ribosomal RNA
Rfam family: Bacterial small subunit ribosomal RNA
Source: RNAcentral